RNAcentral lists this long non-coding RNA (9447 nucleotides) under Homo sapiens (human). RNAcentral describes it as "non-protein coding XIST:49". The record is from RNAcentral. Lineage: Eukaryota; Metazoa; Chordata; Mammalia; Primates; Hominidae.
ACUGACUCAUUCUUAGAGCCCCUUCCCUUGGAAUAUUAAUGGAUACAAUAGUAAUUAUUCAUGGUUCUGCGUAACAGAGAAGACCCACUUAUGUGUAUGCCUUUAUCAUUGCUCCUAGAUAGUGUGAACUACCUACCACCUUGCAUUAAUAUGUAAAACACUAAUUGCCCAUAGUCCCACUCAUUAGUCUAGGAUGUCCUCUUUGCCAUUGCUGCUGAGUUCUGACUACCCAAGUUUCCUUCUCUUAAACAGUUGAUAUGCAUAAUUGCAUAUAUUCAUGGUUCUGUGCAAUAAAAAUGGAUUCUCACCCCAUCCCACCUUCUGUGGGAUGUUGCUAACGAGUGCAGAUUAUUCAAUAACAGCUCUUGAACAGUUAAUUUGCACAGUUGCAAUUGUCCAGAGUCCUGUCCAUUAGAAAGGGACUCUGUAUCCUAUUUGCACGCUACAAUGUGGGCUGAUCACCCAAGGACUCUUCUUGUGCAUUGAUGUUCAUAAUUGUAUUUGUCCACGAUCUUGUGCACUAACCCUUCCACUCCCUUUGUAUUCCAGCAGGGGACCCUUACUACUCAAGACCUCUGUACUAGGACAGUUUAUGUGCACAAUCCUAAUUGAUUAGAACUGAGUCUUUUAUAUCAAGGUCCCUGCAUCAUCUUUGCUUUACAUCAAGAGGGUGCUGGUUACCUAAUGCCCCUCCUCCAGAAAUUAUUGAUGUGCAAAAUGCAAUUUCCCUAUCUGCUGUUAGUCUGGGGUCUCAUCCCCUCAUAUUCCUUUUGUCUUACAGCAGGGGGUACUUGGGACUGUUAAUGCGCAUAAUUGCAAUUAUGGUCUUUUCCAUUAAAUUAAGAUCCCAACUGCUCACACCCUCUUAGCAUUACAGUAGAGGGUGCUAAUCACAAGGACAUUUCUUUUGUACUGUUAAUGUGCUACUUGCAUUUGUCCCUCUUCCUGUGCACUAAAGACCCCACUCACUUCCCUAGUGUUCAGCAGUGGAUGACCUCUAGUCAAGACCUUUGCACUAGGAUAGUUAAUGUGAACCAUGGCAACUGAUCACAACAAUGUCUUUCAGAUCAGAUCCAUUUUAUCCUCCUUGUUUUACAGCAAGGGAUAUUAAUUACCUAUGUUACCUUUCCCUGGGACUAUGAAUGUGCAAAAUUCCAAUGUUCAUGGUCUCUCCCUUUAAACCUAUAUUCUACCCCUUUUACAUUAUAGAAAGGGAUGCUGGAAACCCAGAGUCCUUCUCUUGGGACUCUUAAUGUGUAUUUCUAAUUAUCCAUGACUCUUAAUGUGCAUAUUUUCAAUUGCCUAAUUGAUUUCAAUUGUCUAAGACAUUUCAAAUGUCUAAUUGAUUAGAACUGAGUCUUUUAUAUCAAGCUAAUAUCUAGCUUUUAUAUCAAGCUAAUAUCUUGACUUCUCAGCAUCAUAGAAGGGGGUACUGAUUUCCUAAAGUCUUUCUUGAAUUUCUAUUAUGCAAAAUUGCCCUGAGGCCGGGUGUGGUGGCUCACACCUGUAAUCCCAGCACUUUGGGAGGCUGAGGUGGGAAGAUCCCUUACUGCCAGGAGUUUGAGACCAGCCUGGCCAACAUUAAAAAAAAAAAAAAGUAAGACAAUUGCCCUGGAAUCCCAUCCCCCUCACACCUCCUUGGCAAAGCAGCAGGAGUGCUAACUAGCUAGUGCUUCUUCUCUUAUACUGCUUAAAUGCGCAUAAUUAGCAGUAGUUGAUGUGCCCCUAUGUUAGAGUAGAAUCCCGCUUCCUUGCUCCAUUUGCAUUACUGCAGGAGCUUCUAACUAGCCUGAAUUCACUCUCUUGGACUGUUAAUGUGCAUACUUAUAUUUGCUGCUGUACUUUUUUACCAUGUAAGGACCCCACCCACUGUAUUUACAUCCCAGCUGGAAGUACCUACUACUUAAGACCCUUAGACUAGUAAAGUUAGCGUGCAUAAUCUUAGGUGUUAUAUACACAUUUUCAGUUGCAUACAGUUGUGCCUUUUAUCAGGACUCCUGUACUUAUCAAAGCAGAGAGUGCUAAUCAAUAUUAAGCCCUUCUCUUCGAACUGUAGAUGGCAUGUAAUUGCAGUUGUCAAUGGUCCUUCAAUUAGACUUGGGUUUCUGACCUAUCACACCCUCUUUGCUUUAUUGCAUGGGGUACUAUUCACUUAAGGCCCCUUUCUCAAACUGUUAAUGUGCCUAAUGACAAUUACAUCAGUAUCCUUCCUUUUGAAGGACAGCAUGGUUGGUGACACCUAAGGCCCCAUUUCUUGGCCUCCCAAUAUGUGUGAUUGUAUUUGUCGAGGUUGCUAUGCACUAGAGAAGGAAAGUGCUCCCCUCAUCCCCACUUUUCCCUUCCAGCAGGAAGUGCCCACCCCAUAAGACCCUUUUAUUUGGAGAGUCUAGGUGCACAAUUGUAAGUGACCACAAGCAUGCAUCUUGGACAUUUAUGUGCGUAAUCGCACACUGCUCAUUCCAUGUGAAUAAGGUCCUACUCUCCGACCCCUUUUGCAAUACAGAAGGGUUGCUGAUAACGCAGUCCCCUUUUCUUGGCAUGUUGUGUGUGAUUAUAAUCGUCUGGGAUCCUAUGCACUAGAAAAGGAGGGUCCUCUCCACAUACCUCAGUCUCACCUUUCCCUUCCAGCAGGGAGUGCCCACUCCAUAAGACUCUCACAUUUGGACAGUCAAGGUGCGUAAUUGUUAAGUGAACACAACCAUGCACCUUAGACAUGGAUUUGCAUAACUACACACAGCUCAACCUAUCUGAAUAAAAUCCUACUCUCAGACCCCUUUUGCAGUACAGCAGGGGUGCUGAUCACCAAGGCCCUUUUUCCUGGCCUGGUAUGCGUGUGAUUAUGUUUGUCCCGGUUCCUGUGUAUUAGACAUGGAAGCCUCCCCUGCCACACUCCACCCCCAAUCUUCCUUUCCCUUCCGGCAGGGAGUGCCCUCUCCAUAAGACGCUUACGUUUGGACAAUCAAGGUGCACAGUUGUAAGUGACCACAGGCAUACACCUUGGACAUUAAUGUGCAUAACCACUUUGCCCAUUCCAUCUGAAUAAGGUCCUACUCUCAGACCCCUUUUGCAGUACAGCAGGGGUGCUGAUCACCAAGGCCCCUUUUCUUGGCCUGUUAUGUGCGUGAUUAUAUUUGUCUGGGUUCCUGUGUAUUAGACAAGGAAGCCUUCCCCCCGCCCCCACCCCCACUCCCAGUCUUCCUUUCCCUUCCAGCAGGGAGUGCCCCCUCCAUAAGAUCAUUACAUUUGGACAAUCAAGGUGCACAAUUAUAAGUGACCACAGCCAUGCACCUUGGACAUUAUUGGACAUUAAUGUGCGUAACUGCACAUGGCCCAUCCCAUCUGAAUAAGGUCCUACUCUCAGAUGCCCUUUGCAGUACAGCAGGGGUACUGAAUCACCAAGGCCCUUUUUCUUGGCCUGUUAUGUGUGUGAUUAUAUUUAUCCCAGUUUCUGUGUAAUAGACAUGAAAGCCUCCCCUGCCACACCCCACCUCCAAUCUUCCUUUCCCUUCCACCAGGGAGUGUCCACUCCAUAUACCCUUACAUUUGGACAAUCAAGGUGCACAAUUGUAAGUGAGCAUAGGCACUCACCUUGGACAUGAAUGUGCAUAACUGCACAUGGCCCAUCCCAUCUGAAUAAGGUCCUACUCUCAGACCCUUUUUGCAGUACAGCAGGGGUGCUGAUCACCAAGGCCCCUUUUCCUGGCCUGUUAUGUGUGUGAUUAUAUUUGUUCCAGUUCCUGUGUAAUAGACAUGGAAGCCUCCCCUGCCACACUCCACCCCCAAUCUUCCUUUCCCUUCUGGCAGGAAGUACCCGCUCCAUAAGACCCUUACAUUUGGACAGUCAAGGUGCACAAUUGUAUGUGACCACAACCAUGCACCUUGGACAUAAAUGUGUGUAACUGCACAUGGCCCAUCCCAUCUGAAUAAGGUCCUACUCUCAGACCCCUUUUGCAGUACAGUAGGUGUGCUGAUAACCAAGGCCCCUCUUCCUGGCCUGUUAACGUAUGUGAUUAUAUUUGUCUGGGUUCCAGUGUAUAAGACAUGGAAGCCUCCCCUGCCCCACCCCACCCUCAAUCUUCCUUUCCCUUCUGGCAGGGAGUGCCAGCUCCAUAAGAACCUUACAUUUGGACAGUCAAGGUGCACAAUUCUAAGUGACCGCAGCCAUGCACCUUGGUCAAUAAUGUGUGUAACUGCACACGGCCUAUCUCAUCUGAAUAAGGCCUUACUCUCAGACCCCUUUUGCAGUACAGCAGGGGUGCUGAUAACCAAGGCCCAUUUUCCUGGCCUGUUAUGUGUGUGAUUAUAUUUGUCCAGGUUUCUGUGUACUAGACAAGGAAGCCUCCUCUGCCCCAUCCCAUCUACGCAUAAUCUUUCUUUUCCUCCCAGCAGGGAGUGCUCACUCCAUAAGACCCUUACAUUUGGACAAUCAAGGUGCACAAUUGUAAGUGACCACAACCAUGCAUCUUGGAAAUUUAUGUGCAUAACUGCACAUGGCUUAUCCUAUUUGAAUAAAGUCCUACUCUCAGACCCCCUUUGCAGUAUAGCUGGGGUGCUGAUCACUGAGGCCUCUUUGCUUGGCUUGUCUAUAUUCUUGUGUACUAGAUAAGGGCACCUUCUCAUGGACUCCCUUUGCUUUUCAACAAGGAGUACCCACUACUUUUUAAGAUUCUUAUAUUUGUCCAAAGUACAUGGUUUUAAUUGACCACAACAAUGUCCCUUGGACAUUAAUGUAUGUAAUCACCACAUGGUUCAUCCUAAUUAAACAAAGUUCUACCUUCUCACCCUCCAUUUGCAGUAUACCAGGGUUGCUGACCCCCUAAGUCCCCUUUUCUUGGCUUGUUGACAUGCAUAAUUGCAUUUAUGUUGGUUCUUGUGCCCUAGACAAGGAUGCCCCACCUCUUUUCAAUAGUGGGUGCCCACUCCUUAUGAUCUUUACAUUUGAACAGUUAAUGUGAAUAAUUGCAGUUGUCCACAACCCUAUCACUUCUAGGACCAUUAUACCUCUUUUGCAUUACUGUGGGGUAUACUGUUUCCCUCCAAGGCCCCUUCUGGUGGACUAUCAACAUAUAAUUGAAAUUUUCUUUUGUCUUUGUCAGUAGAUUAAGGUCAUACCCCAUCACCUUUCCUUUGUAGUACAACAGGGUGUCCUGAUCAACCAAAGUCCUGUUGUUUUGGACUGUUAAUAUGUGCAAUUACAUUUGCUCCUGAUCUGUGCACUAGAUAAGGAUCCUACCUACUUUCUUAGUGUUUUUAGCAGGUAGUGCCCACUACUCAAGACUGUCACUUGGAAUGUUCAUGUGCACAAACUCAAUUCUCUAAGCAUGUUCCUGUACCACCUUUGCUUUAGAGCAGGGGGAUGAUAUUCACUAAGUGCCCCUUCUUUUGGACUUAAUAUGCAUUAAUGCAAUUGUCCACCUCUUCUUUUAGACUAAGAGUUGAUCUCCACAUAUUCCCCUUGCAUCAGGGGCAUGUUAAUUAUGAAUGAACCCUUUUCUUUUAAUAUUAAUGUCAUAAUUGUAUUUGUGGACCUGUGUAGGAGAAAAAGACCCUAUGUUCCUCCCAUUACCCUUUGGAUUGCUGCUGAGAAGUGUUAACUACUCAUAAUCUCAGCUCUUGGACAAUUAAUAGCAUUAAUAACAAUUAUCAAGGGCACUGAUCAUUAGAUAAGACUCCUGCUUCCUCGUUGCUUACAUCGGGGGUACUGACCCACUAAGGCCCCUUGUACUGUUAAUGUGAAUAUUUGCAAUUAUAUAUGUCUCCUUCUGGUAGAGUGGGAUAUUAUGCCCUAGUAUCCCCUUUGCAUUACUGCAGGGGCUGCUGACUACUCAAAACUUCUCCUGGGACUGUUAAUAGGCACAAUGGCAGUUAUCAAUGGUUUUCUCCCUCCCUGACCUUGUUAAGCAAGCGCCCCACCCCACCCUUAGUUUCCCAUGGCAUAAUAAAGUAUAAGCAUUGGAGUAUUCCAUGCACUUGUCUAUCAAACAGUGGUCCAUACUCCCAACCCUUUUGCAUUGCGCCAGUGUGUAAAAUCACAGGUAGCCAUGGUGUCAUGCUUUAUAUACGAAGUCUUCCCUCUCUCUGCCCCUUGUGUGCCCUUGGCCCCUUUUUACAGACUAUUGCUCACAAUCUCAGGUGUCCAUAUUUGCAGCUAUUAGGUAAGAUUGUGCUGUCUCCCUCUUCCCUUCCCUCUGCCCUGCCCCUUUUGCCUCUUUGCUGGGUAAUGUUGACCAGACAAGGCCCUUUCUCUUGGACUUAAACAAUUCUCAGUUGCACUUUCCUUGGUCCCACCCAUUAUACAUGAACCCCUCUACUUCCUUUCGCAUUGCUUCUGAGUAUGCUGACUACCCAAAGCCCCUUCUGUGUUAUUAAUAAACACAGUACUGAUUGUCCCAUUUUUCAGCCCAUCAGUCCAAGAUCUCCCUACCACUUUGGUGUGUUGGUGCAGUGUUGACUAUGAAAAGCAGGCCUGAACUAGGUGGAUAAGCCUUCACUCAUUUUCUUUCAUUUAUUAAUGAUCCUAGUUUCAAUUAUUGUCAGAUUCUGGGGACAAGAACCAUUCUUGCCCACCUGUGUUACUGCUUUACUGUGCAAAAUACUGAAGGCAAGUCAGACCCAGGGAGCUGGAUUGCCAUCCUUUAUUUUGUGUUUCCAGUGUACACUAUAAAAUUGUCUCCCCAGGAAGGAAGGUUGGCACUUUCUCUGCAUUCUUCUUUCCAGAGCAGAUUGCCUGGUUAAGAAUCUCUUGUUGUCCCCUUUGUAUAUUGUUAUUGUAAAGUGCCAAAUGCCAGGAUACAGCCAGAAAAAUUGCUUAUUAUUAUUAAAAAAAUUUUUUUAAGAAAGACAUCUGGAUUGUAGGGUGGACUCGAUAACCUGGUCAUUAUUUUUUUGAAGCCAAAAUAUCCAUUUAUACUAUGUACCUGGUGACCAGUGUCUCUCAUUUUAACUGAGGGUGGUGGGUCUGUGGAUAGAACACUGACUCUUGCUAUUUUAAUAUCAAAGAUAUUCUAGAGUGGAACUCUUAAGACCAGUAUCUUUGUGUGGGCUUUACCAGCAUUCACUUUUAGAAAAACUACCUAAAUUUUAUAAUCCUUUAAUUUCUUCAUCUGGAGCACCUGCCCCUACUUAUUUCAAGAAGAUUGCAGUAAAACGAUUAAAUGAGGGAACAUAUGCAGAGGUGCUUUUAAAAAGCAUAUGCCACCUUUUUUAUUAAUUAUUAUAUAAAAUGAAGCAUUUAAUUAUAGUAAUAAUUUGAAGUAGUUUGAAGUACCACACUGAGGUGAGGACUUAAAAAUGAUAAGACGAGUUCCCUAUUUUAUAAGAAAAAUAAGCCAAAAUUAAAUAUUCUUUUGGAUAUAAAUUUCAACAGUGAGAUAGCUGCCUAGUGGAAAUGAAUAAUAUCCCAGCCACUAGUGUACAGGGUGUUUUGUGGCACAGGAUUAUGUAAUAUGGAACUGCUCAAGCAAAUAACUAGUCAUCACAACAGCAGUUCUUUGUAAUAACUGAAAAAGAAUAUUGUUUCUCGGAGAAGGAUGUCAAAAGAUCGGCCCAGCUCAGGGAGCAGUUUGCCCUACUAGCUCCUCGGACAGCUGUAAAGAAGAGUCUCUGGCUCUUUAGAAUACUCUCUUCAUUGUUCCUAUCUGCCAAAUCAUUAUACUUCCUACAAGCAGUGCAGAGAGCUGAGUCUUCAGCAGGUCCAAGAAAUUUGAACACACUGAAGGAAGUCAGCCUUCCCACCUGAAGAUCAACAUGCCUGGCACUCUAGCACUUGAGGAUAGCUGAAUGAAUGUGUAUUUCUUUGUCUCUUUCUUUCUUGUCUUUGCUCUUUGUUCUCUAUCUAAAGUGUGUCUUACCCAUUUCCAUGUUUCUCUUGCUAAUUUCUUUCGUGUGUGCCUUUGCCUCAUUUUCUCUUUUUGUUCACAAGAGUGGUCUGUGUCUUGUCUUAGACAUAUCUCUCAUUUUUCAUUUUGUUGCUAUUUCUCUUUGCUCUCCUAGAUGUGGCUCUUCUUUCACGCUUUAUUUCAUGUCUCCUUUUUGGGUCACAUGCUGUGUGCUUUUUGUCCUUUUCUUGUUCUGUCUACCUCUCCUUUCUCUGCCUACCUCUCUUUUCUCUUUGUGAACUGUGAUUAUUUGUUACCCCUUCCCCUUCUCGUUCGUUUUAAAUUUCACCUUUUUUCUGAGUCUGGCCUCCUUUCUGCUGUUUCUACUUUUUAUCUCACAUUUCUCAUUUCUGCAUUUCCUUUCUGCCUCUCUUGGGCUAUUCUCUCUCUCCUCCCCUGCGUGCCUCAGCAUCUCUUGCUGUUUGUGAUUUUCUAUUUCAGUAUUAAUCUCUGUUGGCUUGUAUUUGUUCUCUGCUUCUUCCCUUUCUACUCACCUUUGAGUAUUUCAGCCUCUUCAUGAAUCUAUCUCCCUCUCUUUGAUUUCAUGUAAUCUCUCCUUAAAUAUUUCUUUGCAUAUGUGGGCAAGUGUACGUGUGUGUGUGUCAUGUGUGGCAGAGGGGCUUCCUAACCCCUGCCUGAUAGGUGCAGAACGUCGGCUAUCAGAGCAAGCAUUGUGGAGCGGUUCCUUAUGCCAGGCUGCCAUGUGAGAUGAUCCAAGACCAAAACAAGGCCCUAGACUGCAGUAAAACCCAGAACUCAAGUAGGGCAGAAGGUGGAAGGCUCAUAUGGAUAGAAGGCCCAAAGUAUAAGACAGAUGGUUUGAGACUUGAGACCCGAGGACUAAGAUGGAAAGCCCAUGUUCCAAGAUAGAUAGAAGCCUCAGGCCUGAAACCAACAAAAGCCUCAAGAGCCAAGAAAACAGAGGGUGGCCUGAAUUGGACCGAAGGCCUGAGUUGGAUGGAAGUCUCAAGGCUUGAGUUAGAAGUCUUAAGACCUGGGACAGGACACAUGGAAGGCCUAAGAACUGAGACUUGUGACACAAGGCCAACGACCUAAGAUUAGCCCAGGGUUGUAGCUGGAAGACCUACAACCCAAGGAUGGAAGGCCCCUGUCACAAAGCCUACCUAGAUGGAUAGAGGACCCAAGCGAAAAAGUUUCUGGCAUCACUACCACUACUGAUUAAACAAGAAUAAGAGAACAUUUUAUCAUCAUCUGCUUUAUUCACAUAAAUGAAGUUGUGAUGAAUAAAUCUGCUUUUAUGCAGACACAAGGAAUUAAGUGGCUUCGUCAUUGUCCUUCUACCUCAAAGAUAAUUUAUUCCAAAAGCUAAGAUAAAUGGAAGACUCUUGAACUUGUGAACUGAUGUGAAAUGCAGAAUCUCUUUUGAGUCUUUGCUGUUUGGAAGAUUGAAAAAUAUUGUUCAGCAUGGGUGACCACCAGAAAGUAAUCUUAAGCCAUCUAGAUGUCACAAUUGAAACAAACUGGGGAGUUGGUUGCUAUUGUAAAAUAAAAUAUACUGUUUUGAAAACUUUGUAUUUUGAUGUGACAAUUUCUAACUCACUGUCCCUAA